CCAGACUCCUACGGGAGGCAGCAGUGAGGAAUAUUGGUCAAUGGGCGCGAGCCUGAACCAGCCAAGUCGCGUGAGGGAUGACGGCCCUACGGGUUGUAAACUUCUUUUGUCAGGGAGCAAUUGGGUCCACGCGUGGGCUUAGCGAGAGUACCUGAAGAAAAAGCAUCGGCUAACUCCGUGCCAGCAGCCGCGGUAAUACGGAGGAUGCGAGCGUUAUCCGGAUUUAUUGGGUUUAAAGGGUGCGUAGGCGGAAUAUCAAGUCAGCGGUAAAAAUUCGGGGCUCAACCCCGUCGUGCCGUUGAAACUGGCGUUCUUGAGUGGGCGAGAAGUAUGCGGAAUGCGUGGUGUAGCGGUGAAAUGCAUAGAUAUCACGCAGAACUCCGAUUGCGAAGGCAGCAUACCGGCGCCCAACUGACGCUGAAGCACGAAAGCGUGGGGAUCGAACAGGAUUAGAUACCCUCGUAUGG
This 467-nucleotide ribosomal RNA is filed under the name uncultured bacterium. RNAcentral describes it as "bacterial SSU rRNA". It matches the Rfam family "Bacterial small subunit ribosomal RNA", at positions 331 to 794 of the family's 1533-position model. The record is from RNAcentral.